UACAGAGAGGGCAAGCGUUAUUCGGAAUUAUUGGGCGUAAAGGGCGCGUAGGCGGCUUGGCAAGUGGAUGGUGAAAUCCCUCGGCUUAACCGAGGAACUGCCAUCCAGACUGCUUUGCUUGAGGCCGGGAGAGGUGAGUGGAAUUCCCAGUGUAGCGGUGAAAUGCGUAGAUAUUGGGAGGAACACCAGUGGCGAAGGCGGCUCACUGGACCGGUUCUGACGCUGAUGCGCGAAAGCGUGGGGAGCAAACGGG
This 253-nucleotide ribosomal RNA is filed under the name uncultured bacterium. Its description in RNAcentral is "partial 16S ribosomal RNA". It matches the Rfam family "Bacterial small subunit ribosomal RNA", at positions 524 to 776 of the family's 1533-position model. The record is from RNAcentral.